CAGGCCUCGUUUGUGUUCCAAUUGGAGUGUGGUUGGUGUGUCUGUAAUGCCGGUGGGUUUCGUGACUUCAAUCUCGUCGGUUUGAAGUUGGCUAGGUCC
RNAcentral lists this microRNA precursor (99 nucleotides) under Bombyx mori (domestic silkworm). RNAcentral describes it as "microRNA bmo-mir-3322 precursor". The record is from miRBase by way of RNAcentral. Lineage: Eukaryota; Metazoa; Arthropoda; Insecta; Lepidoptera; Bombycidae.